This 89-nucleotide non-coding RNA is filed under the name Pelagibacterium sp. RNAcentral describes it as "Glycine sequence". It matches the Rfam family "Glycine riboswitch aptamer". Rfam says of the family: This family represents the bacterial glycine riboswitch. Glycine riboswitches usually consist of two metabolite-binding aptamers domains with similar structures in tandem. The aptamers cooperatively bind glycine to regulate the expression of downstream genes. Lineage: Bacteria; Pseudomonadati; Pseudomonadota; Alphaproteobacteria; Hyphomicrobiales; Devosiaceae. The record is from RNAcentral. RNAcentral also lists the same sequence under 1 other name.
CCGAUGACUGCGGGAGAGACUGGCCUUGUGCCGGCGCCGAAGGAGCAACCGCCCCGGAAACUCUCAGGCCAAAGGACCGCAGUCAGGUC